GACGAACGCUGGCGGCGUGCCUAAUACAUGCAAGUAGACCUGAGUUGCGAACGGGUGAGUAACGCGUAGGAACCUGCCUCAUAGCGGGGGAUAACGUCCGGAAACGGGCGCUAAUACCGCAUACUAUCAGAUGAGCCUAGGUCGGAUUAGCUAGUUGGGGGGGUAAAGGCCUACCAGGGCGACGAUCCGUAACUGGUCUGAGAGGAUGAUCAGUCACACUGGAACUGAGACACGGUCCAGACUCCUACGGGAGGCAGCAGUGGGGAAUAUUGGACAAUGGGCGAAAGCCUGAUCCAGCCAUGCCGCGUGUGUGAAGAAGGUCUUCGGAUUGUAAAGCACUUUCAGCGGGGAGGCGUUACCCGCAGAAGAAGCACCGGCUAACUCCGUGCCAGCCGCCGCGGUAAUAC
RNAcentral lists this ribosomal RNA (407 nucleotides) under uncultured bacterium. Its description in RNAcentral is "partial 16S ribosomal RNA". It matches the Rfam family "Bacterial small subunit ribosomal RNA", at positions 28 to 526 of the family's 1533-position model. The record is from RNAcentral.